UCGGGAAUUUUGGGCAAUGGGCGAAAGCCUGACCCAGCAACGCCGCGUGAGGGAUGAAGUAUUUCGGUAUGUAAACCUCGAAAGAAUGGGAAGAAUAAAUGACGGUACCAUUUAUAAGCUCCGGCUAACUACGUGCCAGCAGCCGCGGUAAUACGUAGGGAGCAAGCGUUGUUCGGAUUUACUGGGCGUAAAGGGCGCGUAGGCGGCGCGGUAAGUCACUUGUGAAAUCUCUGAGCUUAACUCAGAACGGCCAAGUGAUACUGCUGUGAUAGAGGGCGGAAGAGGCAACCGGAAUUCUUGGUGUAGUGGUGAAAUACGUAGAUAUCUGGAAGAACGCCAGUUGGGAAGGCGGUCUCUUGGUCCGACACUGACGCUGAGGCGCGAAAGCGU
This 390-nucleotide ribosomal RNA is filed under the name uncultured bacterium. RNAcentral describes it as "bacterial SSU rRNA". It matches the Rfam family "Bacterial small subunit ribosomal RNA", at positions 355 to 762 of the family's 1533-position model. The record is from RNAcentral.